CCUGUCACCUUAGGUCGAUCGGUACCUCAGUUUAAUAUUCCAAAACCAAGAAAUUAGUUUUAGAAAUCUUGAAUUCAGUUCCUAAACUUUGUCUAGGUCACACCCCGCAAGGGUACUCCUGGGCCAUUAGCUCAGGUGGUUAGAGCGCACCCCUGAUAAGGGUGAGGUCCCUGGUUCAAGUCCAGGAUGGCCCAUUCGGUGUUGGGGGUAUAGCUCAGUUGGUAGAGCGCCUGCUUUGCAAGCAGGAUGUCAGCGGUUCGAGUCCGCUUACCUCCACUGAUCUACCUCCUGAUAACGCAGCUCAUGGAGUGUUACUUGUUUAAGUGAUCUAGUAUUUGUUUUCAAUGAACGAACCUAGCUUCUUGUCAUUCAUACAAAAGAAACUUUGUAUCAUUGAUAGGAUGCUGGGCUCUUUGCAAUGAAAAUUGCAUAGAUGUUCUGCAGAACCUUGACAACUGCAUAGGUAAGUCUAGAAAGAAUAAAGCAUCUAAACGGAUGCAUUAUUUUUUUAAGUCAAUAGUUAUAGCUCUGAAUUUAAUUCAGUGUUUUUGUUUUGACUUGAAAAUAGUAAUGUUUAAUUCUUGAGCAAGAGCCGAGACUCUUUAACGUUCUUUCAUUUCUAUAUAAGAAUGAGAGUUUGAUUUUUAAUUUUAUGAACUCGCUUCGACUCUUUAGAUAAACUCUAAAGAAUUACUGCUUGUUUUACUUAGAAAUUAAAGAGAAAGUGCUAACAACACAUAACGUUUUAGAGAUUAUAUGGUCAAGCUACAA
Molecule: transfer RNA, 771 nt
Filed under: uncultured Prochlorococcus sp.
Lineage: Bacteria; Bacillati; Cyanobacteriota; Cyanophyceae; Synechococcales; Prochlorococcaceae
Description: partial 16S-23S ribosomal RNA intergenic spacer; may also contain 16S ribosomal RNA and 23S ribosomal RNA
Rfam family: tRNA (bases 204-276)
Source: RNAcentral